This 86-nucleotide transfer RNA is filed under the name Jatropha curcas. It matches the Rfam family "tRNA". Rfam says of the family: Transfer RNA (tRNA) molecules are approximately 80 nucleotides in length. The record is from Rfam by way of RNAcentral. Lineage: Eukaryota; Viridiplantae; Streptophyta; Magnoliopsida; Malpighiales; Euphorbiaceae.
CCGACCUUAGCUCAGUUGGUAGAGCGGAGGACUGUAGUAUGACAGCUGAAAUCCUUAGGUCGCUGGUUCGAAUCCGGCAGGUCGGA